CCUACGGGGUGCUGCAGUGGGGAAUAUUGGACAAUGGGCGAAAGCCUGAUCCAGCCAUGCCGCGUGUGUGAAGAAGGCCUUCGGGUUGUAAAGCACUUUCAGUGGGGAAGAAAGCCUUGGGGCUAAUACCCUCGAGGAAGGACAUCACCCACAGAAGAAGCACCGGCUAACUCCGUGCCAGCAGCCGCGGUAAUACGGAGGGUGCGAGCGUUAAUCGGAAUUACUGGUCGUAAAGCGCGCGUAGGCGGUCUGAUAAGCCGGUUGUGAAAGCCCCGGGCUCAACCUGGGAACGGCAUCCGGAACUGUCAGGCUAGAGUGCAGGAGAGGAAGGUAGAAUUCCCGGUGUAGCGGUGAAAUGCGUAGAGAUCGGGAGGAAUACCAGUGGCGAAGGCGGCCUUCUGGACUGACACUGACGCUGAGGUGCGAAAGCGUGGGUAGCAAACAGGAUUAGAUACCCGAGUAGUC
Molecule: ribosomal RNA, 465 nt
Filed under: Vreelandella stevensii
Lineage: Bacteria; Pseudomonadati; Pseudomonadota; Gammaproteobacteria; Oceanospirillales; Halomonadaceae
Description: partial 16S ribosomal RNA
Rfam family: Bacterial small subunit ribosomal RNA
Source: RNAcentral